RNAcentral lists this ribosomal RNA (281 nucleotides) under Klebsiella pneumoniae. Its description in RNAcentral is "partial 23S ribosomal RNA". It matches the Rfam family "Bacterial large subunit ribosomal RNA", at positions 1630 to 1894 of the family's 2925-position model. The record is from RNAcentral. Lineage: Bacteria; Pseudomonadati; Pseudomonadota; Gammaproteobacteria; Enterobacterales; Enterobacteriaceae.
GCAAACAAUAAAUCGUACCCCAAACCGACACAUGUGGUCAGGUAGAGAAUACCAAGGCGGUAGAGAGAACUCGGGUGAAGGAACUAUGCAAAAUCGUGCCGUAACUUCGGGAGAAGGCACGCUGGUGUGUAGGUGAAGCCCCUGCGGGUGGAGCUGAGACCAGUCGAAGAUACCAGCUGGCUGCAACUGUUUAUUAAAAAAACAGCACUGUGCAAACACUAAAGUGGACGUAUACGGUGUGACGCCUGCCCGGUGCCGGAUGGUUAAUUGAUGGGGUUAUC